CCUACGGGAGGCAGCAGUGGGGAAUAUUGCACAAUGGGGGAAACCCUGAUGCAGCGACGCCGCGUGAGCGAUGAAGUAUUUCGGUAUGUAAAGCUCUAGCAGCAGGGAAGAAAAUGACGGUACCUGACUAAGAAGCCCCGGCUAACUACGUGCCAGCAGCCGCGGUAAUACGUAGGGGGCAAGCGUUAUCCGGAUUUACUGGGUGUAAAGGGAGCGUAGACGGUCCUGCAAGCCAGAUGUGAAAGCCCGGGGCUCAACCCCGGGACUGCAUUUGGAACUGUAAGGCUAGAGUGUCGGAGAGGCAGGCGGAAUUCCUAGUGUAGCGGUGAAAUGCGUAGAUAUUAGGAGGAACACCAGUGGCGAAGGCGGGCUGCUGGACGAUGACUGACGUUGAGGCUCGAAAGCGUGGGGAGCGAACGGGAUUAGAUACCCUUGUAGUC
This 440-nucleotide ribosomal RNA is filed under the name uncultured bacterium. RNAcentral describes it as "partial 16S ribosomal RNA". It matches the Rfam family "Bacterial small subunit ribosomal RNA", at positions 338 to 795 of the family's 1533-position model. The record is from RNAcentral.